UACAGAGGGGGCCAGCGUUAUUCGGAAUUAUUGGGCGUAAAGGGCGCGUAGGCGGCUUUGCGUGUCUUUCGUGAAAUCCCUCGGCUCAACUGAGGACGUGCGGAAGAAACUGCAGGGCUGGAGUCCGGGAGAGGAGGGUGGAAUUCCCAGUGUAGCGGUGAAAUGCGUAGAUAUUGGGAGGAACACCGGUGGCGAAGGCGGCCCUCUGGACCGGUACUGACGCUGAUGCGCGAAAGCGUGUGGAGCAAACGGG
This 253-nucleotide ribosomal RNA is filed under the name uncultured bacterium. RNAcentral describes it as "partial 16S ribosomal RNA". It matches the Rfam family "Bacterial small subunit ribosomal RNA", at positions 524 to 776 of the family's 1533-position model. The record is from RNAcentral.